Molecule: ribosomal RNA, 453 nt
Filed under: uncultured bacterium
Lineage: Bacteria
Description: bacterial SSU rRNA
Rfam family: Bacterial small subunit ribosomal RNA
Source: RNAcentral
AGAGUUGAUCAGUGGCUCAGAACGAACGCUGGCGGCAUGCCUAACACAUGCAAGUCGAACGAAGCCUUCGGGCUUAGUGGCGCACGGGUGCGUAACGCGUGGGAAUCUGCCCUUGGGUUCGGAAUAACAGUUAGAAAUGACUGCUAAUACCGAAUGAUGUCUUCGGACCAAAGAUUUAUCGCCCAAGGAUGAGCCCGCGUCGGAUUAGCUAGUUGGUGAGGUAAAGGCUCACCAAGGCGACGAUCCGUAGCUGGUCUGAGAGGAUGAUCAGCCACACUGGGACUGAGACACGGCCCAGACUCCUACGGGAGGCAGCAGUGGGGAAUAUUGGACAAUGGGCGAAAGCCUGAUCCAGCAAUGCCGCGUGAGUGAUGAAGGCCUUAGGGUUGUAAAGCUCUUUUACCCGGGAUGAUAAUGACAGUACCGGGAGAAUAAGCCCCGGCUAACUCCGUG